UCUAAGAUAUGUCAUAUUUUUUCAUUGUUGUAUUAUAGUGAAUGAGUAAUCCAACGAUGUCAGGCCCUUUUUUGCCCUACAAGAUGUGCAUGAUUGACUUGUGAAAAGAUUAAGGAAAUUGUAGUUUUUUUGGGGUCGGAUGGGAAUUCUGGCUUUGCUAAAUCUUUUCAAAGCAAUUUUAAUUCUCGAGCAGAAUUUUGAUCUGCUUUUCGUGAUCCUUCGUCAUGCGCUAGAGGUGAAUUUGCAGCCUUGGGGGUUGAACCAAAGAGCAUGUACCGAACCUGCAAAAGAGUUGCUUAGCUGAUGAAUGAUUUUUGUUCUGAAGUUCUCAUCUCUAUUUGCAUCAAAUGCUAUGACAUUUUAGGUGGUCUGGUUGUCUCUUACCAAAGAAAUCAGUCACAAAAGCUGUGGAAAAGAAAUUAAUGAAACUCUCAAGAACUUUGCACUAUUUACAAAGUGCCGCGACUCUUUUACAAAAAUACAUUGACAAAAAUGGAAUGUGGUGCGAAAAUCAUCAAUGCUGAAUGAGGAUUAGCUCGCGCUUUGGUUUAGCAUCUCAUUGUACUGAAGGUAAGAAAUUUGCCUUUGCAACUUCGUUUGUUCAUAGAAUUUAGCUAUGAACUGCUCUGCUCUUGCGUCGAUCCCUCGAUCUUCCUCAAUUACCACUCUUCCAUCCUCCGCCUGCUCCUCAUCGAAAUGAGUUCCCUCUUCGCCUCCGUUUUCAAGGAAGCUCUGCCUCACGGCUUCAUACCCAUAGCACAGUCGGUCGUCCUCGUCAAACUCUGGGUCAAAAUCGACGUGGGGGUUUAUGCACGGUAUGUGCGGCAAGGGAAACCGCAUCGGCCCCGGGCGAUGCAUCUUCACGUGGACAACCGGGGUCUUAUCAAAGGAGAGCUCACGCUCCCUGUACCAGAUCUGGCUGCGCGGCGUCGCCUGGCCGAUGGUCUUGAGGAACUUGGGCACAAGGCCGAGCUGCAACUUGAACGCCCCGCCUUUCCUCGCCCAGAGCAGCGCCAGGCGCAGGAGGUUCCACGCGCGGCGAGAAACCCCGGACGUCUUCCUCGGCAUCUUUUCUCGGUCUCUAGCUGAGUAGUGUUUUCUUUGAGAAAGUCUUGCAGCUGAAAAAGGAUAAAUGAGAGAAGAUGAAAAGAGAGUGUGGAGGGUGUGAGAUGACUGAUGAAAUGGGGGUUAGCUUUGUAUGGGGCCUUUUUCCAGAUUUUGCUGAGCUGGAUGUGUACAAAAAUGAUCAGAAAGCUGUCUAUGUUUUAGGAUGAUCUGUGGGAAUGAGCAGAGCUUGGAAGGUGUUUAUAUAUGGAUUGGAAUUUUGUAUGGCACGCGGUGCUGUGGAGACAGCAGUUUCGUGUGGGGAUGCGAAUAGUGGGCGGCGGGAUCUGGGGACACAACGCGGUUGGACGCGCUGCAUCAUUGUUGUUUUCAGAUGCUUAUUACUUUAUUUCUCCCCGUUCCCGUUGAUCGAAAUUUGGCGAGUCCGAUUAAUCUUGAUAAGUGAGGAUAAUUGUUCAAAAAAUCAUAAACUUUUUGUACAGUAACUAAUUUAAAUCUCAAAAAUUUCGAUUAUGUCAGAUAUAAUUUUGAACCUAUUGUACGGUAAUCAAUUUGGCCAUAAACCUUUCAAUCGUGUCAAUUUAGCUAUAAACAUUUUGAUUGUUUGUCAAUUUAGUCAUAAGCCUGAACGAGUUGUCAAUAUAGUCAUUUUAGGUAAUUUUGGCCGAACAUCACUCAAAGACUAUAUUGGCAAAUUAUUAAAAUGUUUAAAAUUGAAUCGACAAAUCGUCAAUACGUUUAUGAAUAAAUUAGUGUAAUUGAAAGAUUUAGAACUAAAAUGACAAUUUAAAAUUUAAAAUCAUAUUGGGCAUCUUAAUUGGACAAUUUUCCCUCAAUAAGUGUAUGGGUAUGGUCCCAUCACUCACAUGCAAUGGAUACGACUCUUAAAAAGGGCUGUGGGUAUGCUCUCAAAUUACUUUGAGUUGAAGUCAUAUAAUUGAAUGGAUGAAAUGUUGAUUAUAAAAGCUCUUAACCCCUUAAUUCACAGCUAUUUUUUUCUUUUCUUUUCUUUUUGUCAGAAUUAACAGCUAUUCAAAGUGCCGCAAAAGGAUUUUUUUUAAAAGCAAUGUGUUGACGUUUGUUAUCAAGGCUCUUGUUAAGCAAUCUACUAAAAAAUCAUUUACAUUUUCCAAUGAUUGAUUGUUGUAAUGUUAUAUGCAAUGAAUAUAAUAAAAAAAUGAAUAAUUUCAAAUAAAAUUAGCAGGAGAAGUGAAUAUUAUAUAUUUGAAGCGACUCUUGUCUGCGGUUUUUUUUUUUGCUGUUGUUGGUUUUCCCUAUUUUUUGGCCGAAUUGAUGAUGUGGUCGUAAUCUUGUCAUGAUAUUUACCUUUGCUGGUAGUUGGGGAACUUAAAAAAGAAAAAGGAAAAAUGAGUGAAUAAUUUUUUUUUUUUGGAUUAAUAUCUUGAAAAAUCCUAAAUAUGUACAUGUGUGACAAAUUUACCUAAAACUAAUUUUUGACCAUGAAAAACCCCAAACUGGUACAACUGCGACAAAUUUACUCAAACUGACCAUAAAAAAACUUGAAAUCAGUAUACUUGUGAUAAAUUUACCUUAACCUAAUUUAUUUAACCACCAAAAACCCUAAAUUGGUACAUUCGUGACAAAUAUGCCCUCCAUUAAAUUGGAUUAAUACCACAAAAAAUCACAAAAAUUGUAUAACCGUGACAAACGAAGAGUAGAAUUGUAAAUCGGUAUCCAAUUAACUAUUGCAUGUUAUUCAAUUGAGUAAUUUGAUAGUAAAAUUCAACGGAAAUUAACAUAGUGUAAAUUUGUCAUAAAUGUAUCGGUUUAGGGUAAAUUUGUCAAAGAUUUAUCAGUUUGGGUUAUAUGGUCAAAAAAAUUAGUUUUGGAUAAUCUGUUAUAAGUGUAUCAAUUUUGGGUUUUUUAGGAUAUUAACCCUUUUUUAAUAUUUAUAUUGAAAUGGAUAAAGUCCUAAUGUUAUAAUAUAAUUCACCUAACGAAACCUAAUUCAAUGGAGUGAACAUUUUUUCUCAUCUUGCUUUAUCUUUCAGAUUCACUCAAAUUAUUUUUUUUUCCUUCUCAAUCGAUCUUACGGAUGAAAUUCCAAGAUUAUGGCAAAACUUCCUUUUAAAAGAUCUUUAUCUCCUAUCCAAAUGCGAGAAGAAUCCAACAAGCAAAUCCUCAACGUACCAAAUAGUCAUCCUUUGAUCUAGGAGAUUUAUUUGUACUAUCAUUAUGAUAUAUUGAUCUAAUGACAAUGUCUAGGUUGAUUUAAUUUUUAACUAACUUUGCAUUUGAAUCAUGAAAAUUGUCUAAGUCAAGGCUAGUCAUGUCAUGUACGACAGUAUAUACUAACCAUACCACUAACGAUUUAUUGUCCAAAUUGGCCGAAAGAACUAAAUUGAUGAAUUGUUAAAAGAAUUAAGAGUAAAUUGCCAAAUUAUCAAAAGAUUUAUAACUAAAUUGGAACAAUUAAAAUAUUUAUGACUAAAUUAAUAAGUCUCAAAAGGUUUAGGACUGACAUGUCACAAUUAAAAGAUUCAGAAUUGAAUCAAUGACAGUACAAUAGAUUUAAGAUUUUUUGAAUAAUUUUUCCUGAAAUUUCAGGUCGUCCUUAUGAAGUUCUGCCCUUUUUUUUUUAAUUUAUAUUCUCGCAUUUUCCAUUAGAAACACUCGGCGACAUCACAUUCAUUCACUAGGAAGCCAAUCAUGGAUCAUGACCCCGUGAAUGGUGGGCAUUUAACAAUCUGGCCCCACAUUUUAAAUCACAAAAUACUAAACAAAGGUUAAGGGCUUUUGUCCAAGUAAACGGUUGUUGAUCCUAGAGAGAGAGAGGGAGGGAGGGAAGGAUGAUGGGCUGUAAUGUUGCCUGGAUUCUUCUAAACCGUGUCAGGAAACUUCACCUAUUUGAUAGGAUGCUUCGUUUUUUUCCGAGUGAUUAUAAGCCAAGACCUUUCAAGGUCGACAAUUAAUUAUUUAUAACACAGGUAAUAGUUAAAGUCCUUAAAAAUUACAGCAUAGAGAGGGGAGAAAAAUGACACCCCCAAGAAUCUAUAGGUUUAUGUAUUUCGGAUUGAUUCUUAACAUUUUAUUUAAAUUUGUGUAGUCCAUGCAUUUUGACUUUUUUUCAUUUAAAACACUUCAAAACUCUUAUCUUCUGCCGCCCUAUACAACUUUUCCAUAAAUUUAUUCAAUAAUUUUUAAAAAAUUAGUGGAAUUUUUUUUAUUAAUCAAAAUAAAUCUUCAAUUCUCAAUUGACCAACAACUGAAAAGUUGACUCUCGUUUAUAGACUUUACUUAAGGUCAUCAUGAACACAGAUUUCUUUUCAUUUUAAGGAAGUAUUAUCUUGUCAUUUUCUUCUUAUUUCUAAGACGACAGUGCAAAUUGAACUUGACUAAAAUUGCCGGUUUGGCCCAAAUCUCAUGGCAAUUCGUGGGCAACCAGCAAGUCAUUAUAAUAUUUAAUUGAAUCCAAGCCAAAAAAAAAAAUAAUAAAUAAGAAAAGGGCUGUGAUGCCCAUUUGCUAGUUGUCUCGUCACCUUUAAAUUAAUCAAGAAUUUUAAAAUAAAUCUAAGGCUCCAUUUGGUAGCAUUCCUAUGUUUCUAUUUUUCUAUUCUUUUAUACCCCGAAAUAAAAAAAGAAAAAAAGAAAUCCAUUUAGUAAUGUCAGUUAAUUUUUCUAUUUCACAAAAAGUUGUCAAGGAAUAUAUUUGAAAUAAAAACAAGAAAUAGAAAAAAAAAGUUACUUCUUAUCCAUGGGAAUAAUUUUUGGAAGUAAUUUUCUUUCUUUUAUUCUUCUUCCCUCUUCUAACUAGUCCAUCGCCCACCGUUGGUUGCCAUUGGCUCUAGCCGCCGGCCAUGGCCAAUGGUCGCUGUCGACCCUCGCCUUUACCGCUUGGCGACCAACUAGAGGAGGAAGAAGAAGAGAGGAAAAAAAAAACAACAAAAAAGAAGAAGAAAAAUCUUUAAAUAUUAUUAAAAAAUUAAAAGAAAUUUUAUGUUACAAAAAAAAAAUUAUAAGUCGAAUUGAACAAAAUCCUAUUCUCUUUCUAUUUCGAGAAUAGAAAUUUUGUGUAGUUAUUAAGGAAUCCAUAAUAAUCAUUUUAUUUCUAUUUCAGAAUUUCUAUUUCAGAACUAUUUUUUUGUUUCAAACUUGCUUUUAGAAAAGAAAUAUGUUUGGUAACACAAUUUUAUUUUUCUAUUUCUAGAAUAAGUUUUUAAUUCAAAAAUAGGUUUUGAAUAAAAAUGAUAAGUAAAAAAAUUUCCCUUCUUUAUUUUUGGAAUAUAAAUGGAGAUAAAAACUAUUCUUAUCGCUUAUCUUCAUUGCUACCGCCCACCAUCCAUCGCUUUCAUCUGCCAUCGGCUACCCUCUACCAAUCGUUGCCACUGUUCGCCUCUUGCUGCCUGCCACCGAUCACCAUUGGUCGGCCCUUGCCAUCCACCACCACUUGGGAGGGAGAUAUUUUGUGUCAUUAUCAAAAAAAUUUCUAUUUUAGAAAUAUAAUUUUUGUGUCAUUAUCAAAUGUAUAUUUUUGCUUAAAAACUCAUCCAAUGAUAUAAAUAUAAAGAUAGAAAAAUCUAUUUCUGUUUCAGAAAUCAAUUUCUGACAAGAAUGGUUAUCAUUCACGCUUAAACGUGUUCAUUUACUUAGAAAUUAUUUUAGGAAAUAAAAAAGAAAAAAUUAUUUCUGGAAAGAAACUUAUUCCGGGAACAAAAAUGUUACCAAAAACACCCUAAUUCAUUAGUUGAAGCUGAACCAUUUCUUUUGAGAACUAGCCUCUAUUUCAAGUGGCAGGUGAGAGUGUCGAGUUGCUAAGAGCAGUGAAUUGUGUGGAGACUUUUUUAUGGUUCAAUGGCGGAAAUCCCAGAAUCGAAAAUGCGAAAGUUUAGUAGUGCCCAAGUAUAGAUGAAAUGGAAGUGCAAAUGAUCAGAAGUCUCCAAAUGAGCUAGUGACUUGAUAUUUAAAGUGUUAGGGAAAUUAACAGGCGCGAUGACACCAUGAGAAAUCGACGUUAGAUAGAAUGCCGCUUGCCACUAUUUUCCCUCCGAUCUAUCUCCUAAAGAAUCAUUAUAUGCUAAUUGUCAAUUGUCUUCCGCUGGGGCUUGGAAAGAGUCGAAUUUAGGACCUACAGUUUUGAUAUAAUGUGAGAUUUCAUGGGUAUGUUUAUAAUUAUUGUAAAAGCUUAAGUUGUUACAAGAAUGUAUGAUUUAUUAUUUAAAUAUUCUAAAACCAACGAAGCUAAGAAACCUUCCUGCAUUAAUAAUCAUAUAUUACCAAACGCGCCCUUAGCUGAUGCAGAAUGAUUUUUGUUCUGAAGUUCUUCUCAUCUCUAUUUGCAUCAUAUGCUAUGAGAUUUCAGGUGUUCUGCUCGUCUCUUACAAAAGAAAUCAGUCACAAAAGCUGUCGAAAAAAAAUUAAUGAAACUCUCAAGAACUUUGCACUAUUUACAAAGUGCCGCGACUCUUUUACAAAAAUACAUUGACAAAAAUGGAAUGUGGUGCGAAAAUCAUAAAUGCUGAAUGAGGAUUAGCUCGCGCUUUGGUUUAGCAUCUCAUUGUACUGAAGGUAAGAAAUUUGCCUUUGCAACUUCGUUUGUUCAUAGAAUUUAGCUAUGAACUGCUCUGCUCUUGUGUCGAUCCCUCGAUCUUCCUCAAUUUCCACUCUUCCAUCCUCCGCCUGCUCCUCAUCGAAAUGAGUUCCCUCUUCGCCUCCGUUUUCAAGGAAGCUCUGCCUCACGGCUUCAUACCCAUAGCACAGUCGGUCGUCCUCGUCAAACUCUGGGUCAAAAUCGACGUGGGGGUUUAUGCACGGUAUGUGCGGCAAGGGAAACCGCGUCAACCCCGGGCGAUGCAUCUUCACGUGGACAACCGGGGUCUUAUCAAAGGAGAGCUCGCGCUCCCUGUACCAGAUCUGGCUGCGCGGCGUCGCCUGGCCGAUGGUCUUGAGGAACUUGGGCACAAGGCGGAGCUGCAACUUGAACGCCCCGCCUUUCCUCGCCCAGAGCAGCGCCAGGCGCAGGAGGUUCCACGCGCGGCGAGAAACCCCAGAUGUCUUCCUCGGCAUCUUUCCUCACUCUCUAGCUGAGAAGUGUUUGCUUUGAGAAAGUCUUGCAGCUGAAAAAGGAUAAAUGAGAGAAGAUGAAAAGAGCGUGUGCAGGGUGAGAGAUGACUGAUUAAAUGGGGGUUAGCUUUGUAUGAGGCCUUUCUCAGAUGUUGCUGAGCUGGAUGUGUACAAAAAUGAUCAGAAAGCUGUCUAUGUUUUAGGAUGAUCUGUGAGAAUGAGCAGAGCUUGGAAGGUGUUUAUAGAUGGAUGGGAAUUUUGUAUGGCACGCGGUGUUGUGGAGACAGCAGUUUCGUGUUGGGAUGUGAAUAGUGGGCGGCGGGAUCUGGGGACACAACGCGGUUGGACGCGGUGUAGCUGCAUCAUUGUUGUUUUCAGAUGUUUAUUACUUUAUUUCUCCCCGUUCUCAUUGAUGGGCAUCUCGAAAUUUGGCGAUUAAUCUCAAUAAGUAGGAUAAUUGUCCCAAAAAUCAUAAACUUAUUGUACAAUAGCUAAUUUAAGUCUAAAAAAUUUCGACUAUGUCAGAUAUAAUUUUGAACUUACUAUACGGCAACCAAUUAGAUCAUAAACCUUUCAAUCAUGUUAAUUUAGUUAUAAAGAUUUUGACUAUUUGUCAAUGUAGUCAUAAACCUUUGAACGAGUCGUCAAUAUAGCCAUUUCAAGUAAUUUUGGCCGAACGUCACUCGAAGACUAUAUUGGCAAAUUAUUAAAAGGUUUAAAUUUGAAUUGACAAAUCGUCAAUACAUUUAUGAAUAAAUUAGCGUAAUUGAAAAGUUUAAAGCUAAAAUGACGUCAUUUAAAAUUUAAAAUCAUAUUGGGCAUUGUAAGUGGACAAUUUUCUCUCAAUAAGUGUGGGUAUGGUCCCAUCACUCACAUGUAUCGGAUAUGACUCUUAAGAAGGGCUGUGGGUGUGCUCUCAAAUUACUUUAAGUUGAAGUCAUAUGAUUGAAUGGAUGAAAUGUUGAUUAUAAAAGCUCUUAACCCCUUAAUUCACAGCUUUUUUUUUUCUUUUUUUUUGUCAGAAUUAACAGCUAUUCAAAGUGCCGCAAAAACAUUUUUUUUUAAAAGCAAUGCGUUAACGUUUGUUAUCAAGGCUCUUGUUAAGCAAUCUACCAAAAAAUCCUUUACAUUUUCCAGUGAUUGAUUGUUGUAAUGUUAUAUGCAAUGAAUAUAAUAAAAAAGAUGAAUCAUUUCAAAUAAAAUUAGCAGGAGAAGUGAAUAUUAUAUAUUUAAAGUGACUCUUGUCUGUGGUUUUUUUGUUGUUGUUGAUUUUCCCUAUUUUUUGGCCAAAUUGAUGAUGUGCUCGUAAUCUCGUCAUGAUAUUUACUUCUGCUGAUAGCUGGGGAACUUAAAAAAGAAAAAAGAAAAGAAAAGGAGUGAGCAUUUUUUUUGGGGAUCUUGACCCCGUGAAUGGUGGGCAUUAACAAUCUGGCCCCUCAUUUUAAAUCACAAAAUACUAAGCAAAGGUUGAGGGCUUUUGUCCAAGUAAACGGUUGUUGAUCCUAGAGAGAGAGAGAGAGAGAGAGGGAAGAAUUAUGGGCUGUACUGUUGCCUGGAUUCUUCUAAACCGUGUCAUGAAACUUCACCUAUUGAUAGGAUGCUUCGUUUUUUUUUUUUUCCGAGUGAUUCUAAGCCAAGACCUUUCAGGUCAACAGUUAAUUAUUUUUAACACAAGUAGUAGUUAAAGUCCUUAAAAAAUACAGCAUAGAGAGGGAGAAAAUUGACAACCCAAGAAUCUAUAGUUCUAUGUAUUUCGGAUUGAUUUCUUAACAUUUUAUUUGGUUUGUGUAGUUCAUGCAUUUUGACUUUUUUUUUUCAUUUAAAACACUUCAAAACUCUUGUCUUCUGCCGCCCUAUACAACUUUUCCACAAGUUUAUUCAAUAAUAUUUUAAAAUUUAGUGGAAUUUUUUUUAUUGAUCAAAAUAAUAAUAAUAAUAAUAAUAAUAAUAAUAAUAAUAAUAAUAAUAAUAAUAAUAAUAAUAAUAAUAAUAAUAAUAAUAAUAUUUCAAUUCUCGAGUGUAGGUGCCUUUGAGGAAGGCUGGGGACAGGCUCGAAAUAAAAAGAAGUAGCAGGUUUAUAAAUUAAAGGAGUCUGAUCUCACUCCUUCUAUGAAAACUGGUGAAGCUACUCCCAAAUCAUUGUUGCCCUCUACUUCUAUGAUAAUACGGAAGAAACAAGUGCUACCUCAGCAAGGUGUUGACUUGGCUCCAUCCUCUCCUGCCGGUACUGCUCAUCUCUUGGAACCUAACUCCUUGGUCCCUUCACAUAGCUUGAAUGGAGAUUUAGCUGAUGAGACAAGUAACUUGAGUAGCUCAAAUGAGGAGGACCAUAUCUUGGUUUGCUCCUUUACUCCUUAGGUUGCCACACCUAAGGCUUCUAAGCUUGCUACUCCAAAGCCUACUUCCCAGCAGGUCAAAUCACUGUAGGAUCCUAACACUGACCAAGGUCACUUUGCUCCUAAAGUCUCCUACUCAGCCCAAGCCAGUGGCCAGCCGGCGGCGUGCUGGCAAGCGCUGAUGUUCUUGCCUAUCUAUCUUGUUUUAUAUAUAUGAAUAUAGGUUUAUGGAAUAUUAGGGGUCUAGUAGGUCUCAUUAGGCAAGCAUAAGUCAGAAACCUUAUUAGCUCUAAUAAUAUUUGCUGUGUUGGUCUUUUGGAGACCAAAGUUCCAGAGUCCAUUUUCCCCUUCAUCUCUUCGAGACUCGUGUCGGGCUGGAUUUAGUGCUCCAACUAUGAUUAUUCCCCUAGAGGGAGAAUUUGGCUUGGUUGGAAUCCUUUCUCUGUGAAUUUUGUUGUGUCUUCUUUUAAUGCAUAGGCAAUCCAUGGCAAGCUCAAGUUCCUUUAUACAGGAGCUGAAUUCUGCCUCUCGGUUAUAUAUGCGAAGCACACCUUUAUGUCUCGUCGGCCAUUAUGGGAGGAACCUACUCUUCUUAGCACUAGCCUUCUAGAUUUUCCUUGGCUGGUGGCGGGGGAUUUCAACGCCAUUUGGGACUUGAUGGAUCGAAUAGGUAGCUUGGAUACUUGGCUUCGUUCUUAUGAAGAGUUUGGACACUGCUUAGCCCAGACAAUAUUAGAAGACCUAAGAUAUGUUGGCUAUGUUAUACUUGGUCUACUUCUUUGGGUGCCAACGAAAACUGAGGAAGAUUGACAAGGUAUUGGUAAAUACGAAAUGGAGCCAUGACUUCUCUUUCUCAGAGGCCUCCUUCCUUGCCCCGGGCAUUUCCGACCAUACUCCAAUGGUUUUUAGACUCUUGGCUACUUCUUCCUACAAAAAAACCUUUCAAUUUUUUUAAUUUCUGGAUGAAGCACCCGGAUUUUCACACAAUAGUUUCUCAGGUGUGGGAGAAUUCGAUAGCUGGAACUCCUAUGUUCAAACUGUCUCACAAGUUGAAGGCCCUCAAGUACCGCCUCAAGCAGCUCAACAGGGAGUCUUUCUCUGAUAUUUCGAUCAGGACAACCAAUGCUAGGAAGGCUCUUCGGUGCACUUAGGAUGCCCUUCAGCAAGACCCGAGUAAUUUAUGGCUUGCUGGAUUAGAAAUGGAUCACAUUCGAAAUUUCUCAGAUCUCCAUCUACAGGAGGAAUCCUUUUAUAGACAGAAAUCUAGGGUUAGGUGGAUAAAGGAAGGUGAUUAGAACACCAAGUUCUUUUAUCACUCUGUCAACAUAAGGCAUCUGAUGAAUAGAGUUCUAUUGGUUGCGAAUGCUCAGGGUAUUAUUGUGACUGAUCCUGGUGAGGUUCAGCAGCCCUUUGUUUCCAAUUUUCAUAAUCUCCUGGCGCUGAUAGACAUUCCAACCUGUCCAGCAAUGCAAGAGAUCCAGGCGGUUCUUCAGCACUCCCUCAACUCGGAACAGGUUCGUAGCCUAUCUCGUCCUGUAACGAACUUGGAAAUCCAUGAUAGAUUGUUCUCUCUAACUAGGGGCAAAGCUCCUGGACCGGAUAGCUUCAAUUUUGAAUUUUUUAAACACAACUGGGACGUUGUAGGUCAUUUGGUCACAGAAGCGGUCAAGGACUUCUUUAUCUCCGGUAACUUGUUGCGUGAGAUAAAUAAUACUAUUUUAGCCUUGGUGCCUAAGAUUCCUAAUGUGUCCAUGGUCUCUAACUAUGGGCCCAUUGCUUGUUGUAAUACAAUUUACAAGUGCUUCAUGAAGGUUAUAGCUAAUCGUUUGGUGGCUAUUCUUUGCUCUAUAAUUAGUCUACCUCAAAAUGCAUUUGUUAAAGGCCGGAGAAUCAAUGACAAUAUCUUGCUGGCUCAGGAAUUAUUCAAUGGAUUCCACAUUGAUCCUUACUUGCCAAACUGUGCUAUUAAGGUAGAUUUUCAAAAGGCAUAUGAUACCAUUGAUUAGGAUUUUUUAGAACUUACUCUUUUUGUGUUUGGCUUUCCUAAUCACUUGGUUGGGCUUAUCAUGACUUGCGUUCGUUCCCCUAAAUUCUUCGUUUCCAUCAAUGGGGAGCUUCAUGGCUUCUUCUCUAGUGGAUGUGGUUUACGUCAAUGGGACCCUAUGUCCCCUUACCUCUUCACUUUGGCCAUGGAGGUAUUUUCUGGGAUCCUACUUUUGAAAUCUUGAUAGCCGAGCGUCAAAUUCUUUUGGAGGUGCAAAUCUACUUGCCUUUCACAUCUUUUCUUUGUGGACGAUGUCUUCCUUUUUAGUGAAGCAAACAUGGCCUCUAUCUCUCUCUUCAAGGAUGGGCUAGAUAUCUUCUCUUCUUGGAGUGGGCUGAGACCUAAUAUGAGCGAGAGUGAAGUUUUUCUAGUAGGUGGGACUAAGAUUUCUCAUAAUCAAAUUCUUCAAGUUCUCGGUUUCCAGGAGGGCAAGCUGCCGGUCCGGUAUCUUGGUGUCCCAAUAAUUUCUUCGCGACUUGGUAAGGCUUGUUGGAGAAAUCUUUUUGGAAUAUUUUGAAGCUGACAAAACGUUUCUAUCAGUCUAGUCUGAAGUUUUGCAGACUCUUCUAUUAAAGUUUGAAGACCUUCGGACUACCAGACUCAAGACUCAAAGUCUAUUCUCAUUGACAGUUACUAAUCCAUUGAAGAAAGGCUAUCUAGAACUACUUCAUUAAGGAGUUUGGCCUUAUCGACUGGAGAAGAUCUCUUGGCUGGAUAAGACAUAACGGAUUCCUUUAUUCAAAUCAAGAAUGAUUAAAGAUCCGAUGAUUGACGAAGUAUUCCUGGAAGGUUCUACUUAUGGAAACCAAGAUCCUGAUUGUAUGGGCGAGCAAGAUUGAUGGGCUAUCGACAUGUUCCUUUAAUAGCUCGAAUAAUCUUCCUAAUUGAUUCUGUCCAACGGGAGGAUUGGAAGAAUCCCUUUGGUAAGUGCCAACGGGUAUGGUGGCACAAAGGAGUAUAAAAGGAAGACGUUCCAGUUGUUCGAGGUGUGCACGAUAGAAGAAUUCCAAAGUCUGAAGCUCUUUGAUUCUUAGUCAAUUCAUUUACUGAGCGAAAUCUUGUACACAAAAGAGAGUCUAUACUUUGAGAUACCUUGAGGAAGUGUGAUAGAAUAUCUACACUGUGGAAUCAAGGGAAAGCAGUGCUGUAAUAUCUCUUUUGUUCAUAGUGAAAUCCAGCAAGUGGGCUGUCAGUGCAGAAGAGUGGACGUAGGCUUGGAAUAAGCCGAAUACGAAUAAGACCGNNNNNNNNNNNNNNNNNNNNNNNNNNNNNNNNNNNNNNNNNNNNNNNNNNNNNNNNNNNNNNNNNNNNNNNNNNNNNNNNNNNNNNNNNNNNNNNNNNNNNNNNNNNNNNNNNNNNNNNNNNNNNNNNNNNNNNNNNNNNNNNNNNNNNNNNNNNNNNNNNNNNNNNNNNNNNNNNNNNNNNNNNNNNNNNNNNNNNNNNNNNNNNNNNNNNNNNNNNNNNNNNNNNNNNNNNNNNNNNNNNNNNNNNNNNNNNNNNNNNNNNNNNNNNNNNNNNNNNNNNNNNNNNNNNNNNNNNNNNNNNNNNNNNNNNNNNNNNNNNNNNNNNNNNNNNNNNNNNNNNNNNNNNNNNNNNNNNNNNNNNNNNNNNNNNNNNNNNNNNNNNNNNNNNNNNNNNNNNNNNNNNNNNNNNNNNNNNNNNNNNNNNNNNNNNNNNNNNNNNNNNNNNNNNNNNNNNNNNNNNNNNNNNNNNNNNNNNNNNNNNNNNNNNNNNNNNNNNNNNNNNNNNNNNNNNNNNNNNNNNNNNNNNNNNNNNNNNNNNNNNNNNNNNNNNNNNNNNNNNNNNNNNNNNNNNNNNNNNNNNNNNNNNNNNNNNNNNNNNNNNNNNNNNNNNNNNNNNNNNNNNNNNNNNNNNNNNNNNNNNNNNNNNNNNNNNNNNNNNNNNNNNNNNNNNNNNNNNNNNNNNNNNNNNNNNNNNNNNNNNNNNNNNNNNNNNNNNNNNNNNNNNNNNNNNGGUCAACCAAUUUCUGAUCCCAUGAAGGUAAACAAGUUACUACGUGGACUCUCCAAGGAUUGGAAUCACAUAAAGACCUCAAUAAGAGAGACACGAAGAAUCAUGCCACUAUCUGUCGAUGAGUUGGUUGGAACUCUUCAGUUUUAUGAAGUGGAACGAAUCAAUGAAGACGAAGAUCCUAAAGGUAAGAAAUCCAUUGCAUUAAAAUCCAUUGAUGAUAAUGAUGUCACAGAUUCUAAAAACAAUAUGGAUGAUGAGGAGCUUGCUCUAAUAAUAAGAAGAUUCAGAAAGCUGAACAGAAAAGGAAGAAGAUUCAAUCCAAAGAAACAGAGCUUUCAAAAGCAACAGACCAAGUCUGUUGAUGAUGAUGAAUCAAACAAAGAUGUAGUCUGCUUUGAAUGUAAGAAAAAGGGACACAUCACACCCAACUGUCCUCUUCUGAAAAAGAAGAAAGGAAAAGCUGAAAAGUAUCGAAAGGCUCUUAAAGCAGAAACCUGGAGUGAUACAGAGUGUGAAGAAAGUGAUGAUGAUUAUGCCAAUAUAUGUCUGAUGGCACAAUCGGAUUCAGAUUCAAACUCCGAGACAGACUCAGAUUCAGACAGUGAAUUUGAGGUCACUAUCAAGAAAAAGGUAAAAUGGUAUCUGGAUAGUGGAUGCUCAAGACAUAUGACAGGAGACUCAAAUAGCUUCAUAAAGCUCGUACAAGUAAAUGGUGGAAAAGUCUAAUUUGGAGGAAACAGUAAAUGGAAGAAUUGUGGGAUUUGGAACUGUAAGAUCGGAAACUUUACCAUAAGCAAUGUUCCCUAGUGGAUGACGUAACUACAUCUGCUCAGUAUAGAUCUUGUCUCAAAAAAUCCCCUUCAAAAUAAAUUUNNNNNNNNNNNNNNNNNNNNNNNNNNNNNNNNNNNNNNNNNNNNNNNNNNNNNNNNNNNNNNNNNNNNNNNNNNNNNNNNNNNNNNNNNNNNNNNNNNNNNNNNNNNNNNNNNNNNNNNNNNNNNNNNNNNNNNNNNNNNNNNNNNNNNNNNNNNNNNNNNNNNNNNNNNNNNNNNNNNNNNNNNNNNNNNNNNNNNNNNNNNNNNNNNNNNNNNNNNNNNNNNNNNNNNNNNNNNNNNNNNNNNNNNNNNNNNNNNNNNNNNNNNNNNNNNNNNNNNNNNNNNNNNNNNNNNNNNNNNNNNNNNNNNNNNNNNNNNNNNNNNNNNNNNNNNNNNNNNNNNNNNNNNNNNNNNNNNNNNNNNNNNNNNNNNNNNNNNNNNNNNNNNNNNNNNNNNNNNNNNNNNNNNNNNNNNNNNNNNNNNNNNNNNNNNNNNNNNNNNNNNNNNNNNNNNNNNNNNNNNNNNNNNNNNNNNNNNNNNNNNNNNNNNNNNNNNNNNNNNNNNNNNNNNNNNNNNNNNNNNNNNNNNNNNNNNNNNNNNNNNNNNNNNNNNNNNNNNNNNNNNNNNNNNNNNNNNNNNNNNNNNNNNNNNNNNNNNNNNNNNNNNNNNNNNNNNNNNNNNNNNNNNNNNNNNNNNNNNNNNNNNNNNNNGUCUGGGAAUUAACUCGUAAACCAAAAGGUAUAUCUAUUAUCGGAGCUAAAUGGGUUUUCAGGAACAGAUGAACGAGAAAGGUAAAGUCGUAAGAAACAUAGCAAGACUCGUGGCCAAGGGAUAUACGCAAGAAGAAGGGAUAGACUAUGACAAGACUUACGCACCAGUAGCAAGGUUAGAAGCAAUUCGAUUAUUAUUUGCUUUUGCUUGUUAUAAGAAUUUCAGGUUAUUCUAAAUGGACGUCAAAAGUGCUUUCCUGAAUGGAUUUAUCCAUGAGGAAGUUUAUGUGGAACAACCACCUGGGUUUGAAGACCCAAGGAAGCCAGACUCAGUAUUCAGACUGAAAAAAACCUUGUAUGGAUUAAAGCAAGCACCUCGAGCUUGGUACGACAGACUGAGUAAGUUUUUAAUUCAAAAUGGCUUUGAAAAAGGUAAAGUAGACACUACUCUGUUCAUCAAAAGAGAAAGCAAAAAUUUUCUGCUUGUUCAAAUAUAUGUUGAUGAUAUCAUUUUUGGAUCCUCAAAUGAAAGUUUGUGCAAGAAAUUCUCUAAGUCUAUGCAGGAUGAAUUUGAAAUGAGCGAACUAACCUUCUUUCUUGGACUUCAAGUGAAACAAUUGAAGGAAGGGACUUUUAUUCAUCAAGAAAAAUAUGCUAAUGAUCUUGUCAAAAAGUUUGGACUGAAAAAUUGCAAAAAGACUGAUAUACCAAUUCCAAGUUCCUUGAAGAUACACAAAGAUGAAGGAGGAAAGAAAGUUGACCAGAAGCUAUACAGGAGUAUCAUCGGUUUACUUCUUUAUCUUACUGCUUCUAGACCUGACAUUUUGUUUAGUGUUUGCAUUUGUGCUAGAUUUCAAGCAGACCCUAAAGAAUCUCAUCUAAGUUCUGCAAAGCAUAUUAUCAAAUACAUUGCUUCAACUUCAAGCAUCGGCCUUUGGUAUCCUAAAAAGGGAGACUUUACUCUCUUUGGAUAUUCAGAUGUAGAUCUAGCCGGUUGCAGAGUUGAUAGAAAGAGCACCUCGGGUACCUGUCAGUUACUUAGAAGCAGGACAAUGUCUUGGUUUUCAAGGAAGCAAAAUACAGUAGCUCUUUCUAUAGCAGAAGUAGAAUAUGUAGCUCUCGGAAGCUGUUGUUCACAAAUUCUGUGGAUAAAACAACAAUUAAGAGAUUUUGGAAUUGAAGAUUCAUGCACGGAGAUUAUCUGUGACAACACCAGUGCAAUCAAUCUUACCAAAAAUCCAAUCCUUCACUCAAGAGCAAAGCAUAUAGAGAUUCGACAUCACUUCAUUAGAGAUCAUGUUCAAAAAGGAGAAGUUUCGAUUCAGUUUGUUGACUCAAAGAACCAACUGGCGGAUAUAUUAACGAAGCCUUUGGAGAAAAAUCAAUUUGAAAUCAUCCGUUCCAGACUCAACAUCUUGAAGCUUGAAGAAGUUAAAGUCUAGAGACUUUUUAGUCUCAGACAAUCAUGGUUCCUGACUGUAAGUUAUUUUAUUAAAUCUCGUAAAGGUACGAUCUUUUAUCCAUUCAUAAUUGAUUUAUGCUAUCUUCAAUUUCCGUGAAAAGUGCAAUUUUUUUCUUUUCAAAAGAAUAAAUGGUAGUUAUCUAUUUUUGAAAAAGGUAGUUAUUUUUUUAAAAUGUAUCUUUUAACCUUCCUUUACGAUGUUUGGCAUUCCCUCGUUUCGACUAAGCUAUAUACAGUCGGUUCCUCUUCACUUAACUCCAAAACCCUAAAAAGCAUCGAUCUUCCAUUCCUGUCUUUCUCCCUUGUUUAAUCUUCAAAAAGUUGUCAUCUUUCUUGGGAAAGUCAAGCAAGGAAUCUUUCAAAGACUAAGAAAGAUGUCAUCUUCAAGAAAGUCUUCAAGAAUUGCAAGCAGGGGACCACGGCGAAUGAGUAAGGGGCCUACUCACUUUGAUCUCACCGAGGAAGAGGAGUCACCAAGUUAGCAGCAGAGCCCACAACAUUCUCAGCAGCGUCAUUCUCCACCAUCUAGUCCACAAAAUGCUGUUCAUCAACAAGAUGAAGAAAUCGUCGAAGACGCAGAUCCUGUAAGAGUUCAAAAGCCCUCUUUUAUUUAUAAGUUUUAUCGUGCUUUAAAGAGCAUUGGUACUCCAUUGAACUACAUCAAUGAGUUUCUUAAGGACAAAGGAUAUGGGAAUGAGUACAUCUUUUUGCGAAAAAAGGAGAGUUUGGAAAUUGCUCCUAAGGGGUUGGCAGAAAAAACCCUUGCAAAUAUCCCAAGUGAUCCGCAUGUUGGAGGUUUUAAUCCGAUAGAUGGAAAUGAUGAUGACAGAUUGUACAAAGAAUUUCAACUGAGAAUGGGUGUUGCGGCGAAAAUUCGAGGAAAAAGAACAUAAUUGUUUAGAUCGAAGGAAUAGAAUGAUCUAUACUCCAAAUUGUUGAAACGUGGGGUGAUAAACCCUAGGAGUGUAGAUUUUGAUUUCCUUGAUGUUGUGAAUGUCAAUUUGAGAGAAAAGUUCAGUUUUCUUCAACUUGAACAGUUCUGUUCUGACACCACAGAAGCGUAUGCUCAAUUAACUGCAUAUUUCUAUUCAAAUCUUAGUUUUUUGGAUGCGAAUAGAAUCUCCUUCAGUGUCCGAGAUCAGGACUUUGUAGUGGAUGUGGAUAUGUUGGCAGAUGUUAUUGGGGUUGAGAGAGGGAGAUAUCAACCCAUCAGUGUCUCUAUAGCUCGUGCCACAUUGGAACUUGUUAAAGAUAGAAUGACAGAAGGAAGGAUUUCGUAUUCAAGGAUGCAUGCGUUCAACAUUCUGCUUCACAAAAUUGUGAUAAAUUGCCUCAGACCCAAAUCAACUUCCAAAACUGAUGUUUCUAACUCAGAGGCAAAGCUGAUGUACGCCAUCAAUGCUGGGAAAAAGUUUUCUCUUCCUCACACUAUUCUGUUUCACAUGUAUAGAGCAGUGGUGAAGGACAAGGGCCAACUUCCUUAUCCAGGUCUUGUGUCAAAGAUAUUCAGACAUUUGAAUAUUCAGCCUCCACAAAUUCUCUGUGUUCAACCAUGUGACAAAAUGGUGGUAGGACUGAAAAUGGUGUCCAAAAUGCGUCUGAAAGAACUCGACAAGACGUUGGAGAAAUUUAAGGAGAAAACCCCUGUCAAAUCUCAUCAAGUCUCUUCUGCAGCGAAAAGAAAAGGGAAGGAGCCCAUGGUUACUCCAUCCAAAAAGAGAAAAGCUCUCAUUACUGAUGAAGAUGAUGAGGAUGACCUCACAAUUUCUGCUAUAGCAUUAAAGAAGCUGAGUCGUUCUGUUCCUGAAUCAAUAGAACGACAGGAGAAAGAAGCAGAGGAGAGAGAAGAACAGGAGAAAGAAGAAGAUACAAAAGCAGAGGAGAGAGAAGCAGAGGAGAAGGAAGAAAAGGUGAAAGAAGCUAAAGAAAAAGAAACAUACGAGGAAAGGAUUGAAGAAGAAAAAGAAAGAGAAAAUCAAGAGGAAGGAGAGCAUGAGGAAAACUCUUCUCCACCUGAAGCCAUGGAAAUAGGGGGAGAUGGUGAAAACAGAGGAAUGUCCUCAUAUCCUGUUACCAGUGAAGGAGUCAGUCACUCUCCAACAGAUCCAGAAGACAUUCAUGCCUCUCAAUUUCCUGAGGAGGGACAUGGUGCUUCAUCGCCAAAUCUGCGUGAUUAUGCUGAUAUACCAUCGUCUGCCUUUACUCCAUCAAAUCGUGCCGAAGCCAGUAUGCAGACUGAUAACUCAGCAGAUUUUCGCAGAAUCAUUGAUGUUCUUUUGGAAUUGCGGGGUCAGAUAUAUGCUUUAGAAAGUGAAGUUCAAAACUUGAAGAAUGCAGGACAAGCUUCUUCCGUUUCAUUGUCUGAUCAGAUCCAAGUCCUUGCUCUUCAGAUUCAAGCCAAUGCUAAAGGUGAAGAGGUGGAUCAUCUAAAAGAAGAAUUGAAAAAGCUGGAAGGCAUCAUCCAGUCCAUGGGAGGUUUCCAGCUUGUUCGCAUUCCCAAGCAAACUUGACUCCAUUCUAUUCCCAUCUCAACUUCUUUUUAUGAUGAUGACAAAAAGGGGGAGAGAUGCGAGAUUUGAAAUCUUUGAACUUUGAACUUAAACUUGUUGAACUUUUAGUUUGUUUUGAUGUGUGACUUGUGAGAGUGCUAGUAUGAACACCUAGAGGGGGGGUGAAUAAGUGUUUAAACUAAACCUUGGCAAAUAUAUGCGGAAUAAAAUAAACUUCGAGUAAAACAAAUGAGUUAAGGAAGAGAAUAAGGACACAAGAUUUAUAGUGGUUUGGCUUAAUCCAGGCCUACGUCCACUCUCCCACGCUAACAGCCUUCUUGGCUGGAUUCCACUAUGCAAUCAAAAAGAGAUUACAACUUCGAGUGCAAACACUUAGUAGAUCACACUAUCUCACUAAGUCACUCUUUUGGUAUUUCUCUCACGAUCACAAACGUUUAAGCUCUCCAAAGACAAGUGUAUGAUCGAAGGUCGCUCAGACUUUGGAAUUAUAAAUUCUACGCCCUAUCUCUUACUUGCUCAUCAGUUCUUCAUCUCCUUAAAUACUCCUCCACUUCCAAACUAGCCGUUGGACAGUAUCCUGAGGAUCGUCUUCCAAUAUACCCAUUGGACAGCUCUGUAUCUAGAAGAUUUGGUAGCCGAUGAGUGACAAAGGUAAAAUCCCAAAUUGAUUCCAAUCGCCCAUACAAACGGAAUCUUGGUUUCCAUAAGUAAAGCUUCUUCGUAUAGAAAGAUCUUGUCUUUAAGAUCCAAUUGUCAAUCAAAUAGAUUGAGUCAAUCAAAUCAAUCUUGAUGUGGAAUCCAAACCAGAUCACUAGCCGUUAUAUGAUUGGGCUUGAGUUACGUUCUGUCGAAUCUGGAUGUAAAGUCUGAGAGCAAUAGACUUUACAAUCUGAGUCUGAGUGCAAUAGACUUUGCAAUCUGAGUCUGAACAUAUUCUGCUUCUGAACAGAUUUAGCUUUAAGGUCUAUACCCAGUUCAGCUUCAGCAUAGAGUCUGUCUUUUGGUUUAUCAUUCACAUUCAAUCUGGAAUUUGUCAGAGUGAGCAGACUUCUGAUGUAGAACAGACUUUGACACUAAAGUCUGGCAGUCUUCAGACUUUGACACAGAAGUCUGGAAAUCUUCAGAAUAUACUUUGGACAUAUGUUACGUUCAGUCUUCUGGUCGUCUUCACACUUUGACAAUAUCCUUUACAUGUUCAAUCAUCUGCAUGGUCUAUUACUUAACCAUUAAACAUGUUAGUAGUCUUUGAUUUAUUUUGUCAUCUUCAAAAUAUCAUAAGAGAUUUCCCUAACAACUUGUGUGUCUGUGUUUGGAUGAGGAUUGACUGAACAUGGAUUUGGAUUUGACUGCUGUUUAUAUUAAGUACUAUUGAUAUCUUAUGAAAGACUAACCUAUUUUCUGUGGUUGCAGAUUCUAGUGUUAUCAUUAAGCUAUUAAUCUUUAUGAGAUAUCCAUAUUUGCUUGAGUAAUGUUUUGCAGGUCAAAGUCAUUCAAAUCUACAGGAAAGUUUUGUCACCAUCAAAAAGGGGGAGAUUGUUGGAGAAAUCUUUCUGGAAUAUUUUGAAGCUGACAAAACAUUUCUAUCAGUCUAGUCUGAAGUUUUGCAGACUCUUCUAUUAAAUUCUGAAGACCUCCGGACUACCAGACUCAAGACUCAAAGUCUAUUCUCAUUGACAGUUACUAAUCCGUUGAAGAAAGGCUAUCCAGAACUACUUCAUUAAGGAGUUUGGCCUUAUCGAUUGGAGAAGAUCUCUUGGCUGGAUAAGACAUAACGGAUUCCUUUAUUCAAAUCAAGAAUGAUUAAAGAUCCGAUGAUUGACGAAGUAUUCCUGGAAGGUUCUACUUAUGGAAACCAAGAUCCUAAUUGUAUGGGCGAGCAGGAUUGAUGGGCUAUCGACAUGUUCCUUUAAUAGCUCGAAUAAUCUUCCUAAUUGAUUUUGUCCAACGGGAGGAUUGGAAGAAUCCCUUUGGUAAGUGCCAACGGGUAGGCACAAAGGAGUAUAAAAGGAAGACGUUCCAGUUGUUCGAGGUGUGCACGAUAGAAGAAUUCCAAAGUCUGAAGCUCUUUGAUUCUUAGUCAAUUCAUUUACUGAGCGAAAUCUUGUACACAAAAGAUAGUCUAUACUUUGAGAUACCUUGAGGAAGUGUGAUAGAAUAUCUACACUGUGGAAUCAAGAGAAAGCAGUGUUGUAAUAUCUCUUUUUGUUCAUAGGGAAAUCCAUCAAGUGGGCUGUCAGUGCAGAAGAGUGGACGUAGGCUUGGAAUAAGCCGAACCACUAUAAACCUUGUGUUCAAUUUUCUCUUCCUUACUCUCCGCUUUACUUUGAUCAUAGUUCGAUUUGUUAACUAAAGGAGAUCUUCUUUUCUGUUGUUAGUCCAGUAUUACUUUCAUAUCUCAAGAAAUUAUUUUUACACCUAUUCACCCCCCUUUAGGUGCUUAUACUAGCUAUAUCAAGGCUGACUAUAAUGCCCUUGUUAAUCUCAUUACAGCAAGAGUGCAAUCUUGGGGACAACAUUUCCUCUCUUUUGCGGGCCGCCUACAGCUCAUUAGGUCAGUCCUUCACUCUAUACAAGUCUUUUGGGCUGGUAUCUUCAUGUUACCUAGAGCUAUACUGGAUCAUAUUGAUCAAAUCUUCAGACAAUUUUUAUGGAAAGGCCCAGGCCUUAGUAGAUGGGGUGUGAAAGUAACUUGGGAAGAGGUAUGCCUUUCGAAAAAAGAAGGAGGACUUGGAAUUCGUGCUCUUCGUGUCUGCAACACGACUGUUAUGCUUAAACACAUUUGGAUUCUAUUUAUGGACAAGGAAUCCCUUUGGUGUAAAUGGAUUCAUUCUACUUACUUAAAAAGGAAGAAUUUUUGGAUAAUUCCUAAGCCCACCAUUUGAUCUUGGGCCUAGAGGAAACUUCUUGCUUUGAGGAAGGAUUUCCACCGUUUCUUUAAUUGGCGAGUGGGACAUGGACAUUCGGUGUCCUUAUGGUUUGAUCCUUGGCACCCUCGGGGUCCCCUAAAUUUGUUCUUCACGGACACUUACAUUUAUCAGUUAGGUUUAUCCAGGUAGGCUACAGUUGCGGAUCUUUUUUCCACACCGGGCCAAUUUACUAAGUUCAUCCUAGAGGCGUGGAGGCAGCCUCUCCCUUCUCUUUCACAGAAGCUUAAUCAGUUUAUUUGGUUGGAGAACACCUUGGAUAUUUUCUCAAUUGCAUCGGCUUGGGAAGCCAUCCGACCAAAGCGUAAUUUGGUACCUUGGUCCUCUUUUGUUUGGAACAAAACUAUUAUGCCGUGGUACCAGUUCCAUCUUUGGCUCAUCACUAGGAACCGGCUAUCUACCCAGGUUCUUUUACUCUCCUAUGAUAGGAUCGAGGAUGGUUCUUGUGCCUUUUGUAAUUCAAGACCGGAUUCUAUUAAUUAUCUUUUCUUUGGUUGUCGAAUUACUACUGGACUUGCUUCAUUUUGGGCUGCGAAAUGCAAUCUUAUUUGGCAAAAUAGGCCAUGGUAGGACACUUUUUUUAUGGGCCCUUGCUCAUCUCUCAAGCGAUGACUUACUCAAUGUAUAGUGAGGUAUUCUUUUGCUGCUAUUUGCCACUUAAUUUGGAAGACAAGGAACAAUAUCUUGUUCCGGGCCGAAGUUCUUAUUGUGCCUGCAUUGAAAAACCAUCUUUUUAAAAUAGUAAGAGAUAAGGCUACAACCUUUAGCUAGGUUGUGGAUGCACCGAGGAAUAGAAGAACCCAACAAAGUUAGGGGCUAGAUCCAGUUAUUUUUGCUUCGGAGGCUGCUGUCACUUGACCUUGAAUUGUUCCCUCAUUGUUUCUUUUGAUAGGUGUCAGUUUCUACCCUAUAUUCCUGUGAGGGUUGCUGUUUCACUGGCUGAUUUCCCUCUUGUUCUUUUUUCCUUUUCUUAUUUGUUGUCAUUGUUUGGCAGCUUCGUUGCCAUUUUGGCUGUUGCUUUCAGUUGGUUGGCAGGUUGUGGUUCCUUUUUCUUGACACCCUUCCACUUGUAUGACUUGUUUGUCAUCAUGAGUGUAAGUUUUUGGUGCCAUUAAUCCUUGCUGUAUAGCUUUUUGGUUAAAAGUCAAUAUAUUUCUUACGUUACCAAAAAAAAAAAAACAACUGAAAAGUUGACUCUCGUUUAUAGACUUUACUUAAGGUCAUCAUGAACACAAAUUUCCUUUCAUUUUAAGGAAGUAUUAUCUUGUCAUUUUCUUCUUAUUUCUAAGACAACAACGCAAAUUGAACUCGGCUAAAAUCGCCAGUUUGGCCCAAAUCUCAUGGUAGUUCGUGGGCAACCAGCAAGUCAUUGUAAUAUUAAAUUGAAUCCAAGCCAAAAAAAAAAAAAAACAAAAGAAUUAAGAAAAGGGUUGUGAUGCCCAUUUGCUAGUUGUCUCAUCACCUUUAAAUUAAUCAAGAAUUUUAAAAUAAAUCUAAGGCUCCAUUAUGUUUCUAUUUUUCUAUUCUUUUAUUCCCCGAAAUUAAAAAAAGAAAAAAAAGAAAUCUAUUUAGUAACGUCAGUUAAUUUUUCUAUUUUACAGAAAGUUGUCAAGGAAUAUAUUUGAAAUAAAAACAAGAAAUAGAAAAAAAUUGCUUCUUAUCUUCGAGAAUAAUUUUUGGAAUAAGUCAUUUUCUUUCUUUUCUUCUUCUUCCCUCUUCUAACUAGUCCAUCGCCCGCCGUCAGUUGCCGUUGGCUCUGGCAGCUAGCCAUGGCCAAUUGUCAGUGUUGGCCCUCACCUUUGCUGCUUGGCGACUAGCUAGAGGAGGAAGAAGAAGAGAGAAAGAAGAAGAAAAAUCUAAAAAAAAAUAUUAAAAAAUUAUAAAAAUUUCUAUGUUAAAAAAAAAAUUAUAAGUCGAACCGAACAAAAUCCUAUUCCUUUUCUAUUUCGAGAAUAGAAUUUUUUUGUGUAGUUAUUAAGGGUGCCCAUAAUAAUCAUUUUAUUUCUAUUUCGGAAUUUCUAUUUCAGAAUUAUUUUUCUGUUUCAAACUUGUAUCUUGAACAAAAAUAUGUUUGGUAACACAAUUUUAUUUUUCUAUUUCUAGAACAAGUUUUUAAUUCAUAAAUAGGUUUAGAAUAAAAAUGAUAAGUAAAAAUUUUUCCAUUCUUUAUUUUUGGAAUAUAAUUGGAAAUAAAAACUCUUCUUAUCGCUUGUCUUCACUACUACCGCCCACCAUCCGUCGCUGCCGCUUGCCAUCGGCUACCCCCUACCAAUCGUUGCCAUUGUUCGCCGUCUGCUGCCUGCCACUGGUCGCCAUUGGUUGCCCCUUGCCAACCACCGCCACUUGGCAGAGAGAUAUUUUGUGUCGUUAUUAAAUGAAUUUCUAUUUUAGAAAAAUAAAAUUUGUGUCAUUAUCAAACGCAUAUUUUUGCUUAGAAAAUCAUCUAAUGAUAUAAAUAUAAAAAUAGAAGAAUCUAUUUUUGUUUCAAAAAUCACUUUCUAACUAGAAUGGUUGUCAUUCACGCUCAAACGUGUUCAUUUACUUAGAAACUAUUUUAGGAAUUAGAAAUAGAAAAAAUUAUUUCCGAAAAGAAACUUAUCCCAGGAGCAGUAAUGUUACCAAAAGCAUGCUAAUUCACUAGUUAAAGCUGAACCAUUUCUUUUGGGAACCAGCCUCUAUUUGAUUCAAGCCCAAGAUUGGGGGCUUUAUCAUUUUUUAUCUUGGAAAGAUUCCCCUUUUAUUACCUUAUGGAUGAGCGCCAGUAGCGCUCUUUAACUAAAACAAAGAAAACAAACAUUGUUUCUCUAGAGUGUGUUUGGAAGGUUUGCUCUCAUGAUACCAUACUCAUGCGGAAGGGUCAGGGAUGCACAACAUUAGCACCGAAAACGUGACGAAGUCGGGAUGCAGCAAGAGAAGGAAAAGGUAAUUUUAAUUGGUUCGAAUUUCAGGUGGCAGGUGAGAGUGUCGAGCCGCUAAGAGCAAUGAAUUGUGUGGAGAGUUUUUUAUGGUUCAACGGCGGAAAUCCCAGAAUCGGAAAUGCAGAAGUUUAGCAGUGCCCAAGUAUAGAUGAAAUGGAAGUGCAAAUGAUCAAAAGUCUCCAAAUGAGCUAGUGGCUUGAUAUUUAAAGUGAAAGGGUUAGGGUAAUUAACAGGCGCAAUGACACCAUGGGAAAUCGACGUUAGAUAGAAUGCCGCCUGCCACUAUUUUCCCUCUGAUCUACCUCCUAUAGAAUCAUUAUAUGCUAUUUGUCAAUUGUCUUCCGCUGGGGCUUGGAAAGAGUCGAAUUUAGGACCAAUAGCUUUGAUAUCAUGUGAGAUUUCAUGGGAUUGUUUAUAAUUAUUCUAAAAGCUUAAGUUGUUACAUGAAUGUGUGAUUUAUUAUUUAAAUAUUCUAAAACCAAGGAAGCUGAGAAACCUUCCUGCAUUAAUAAUCAUAUAUUACACCUCGCGCCAUCCAAAUUGACAUACAUAGGACCAUCCAAGUGAAGAAAUGCAAAUUACUGAAUUAGCUGUGGAGGAGCCGCCGUGCUCAACCCAUUAAUUUUUCCACCUAAAUCAUAGUUAAGGUCGGAGUCCUCACCCAAGCAUGCAAGUGAUGAAGAGAUCUGGACACCAUCCAUCACAGAAGAUUUGUGAUUACCGCUGUUUUGUAUCAGGUGGGUGAAGUGACACAUCCAAGACGAUUCUCACGAAUGUGAAGUUAUUCCUGAUUCAAAAGGGGUGGUCAUCCCCGUUUUUCCUCCAAAAGAGGUACGCCUUCCAUCAUUAGGGCGUGAAGAGAACUCGUUUGAACUUCGUAGAGUGGUCGUGUUACUGCUCGAUGUGGUAUGCCUUCCAGGAUGAACAUUCUUGUCAGGAUAUAAUCCUAAUCUUGAAUCAUGAGUAUGUUCUUACGAAAACCAUUGUUAAUGAAACCCGUAGAUGAGAGGAAGACAAGGCAAGCAAAACGACAUGAAUGAGAUAUCUACCUCCUCCUGCCAAUUCGCUAGGGAGUUUCUUGCUGCCUAGUGAAGCAUAGCCAAUUUGAUUAGAAUUUUUCCUCCAAGAAAAUCGGCAAAGAGAAUUGUUAACAAGUAAUUCAAAUGAGGAGAAACAUGAUGAUGCAAUGGAGAAAAAAAUAUAACAAUAGUUCUUCUGCAUUUAAAUCAGUCAUGCCUCGAAUCUUGCGAGAACUGCCGUUCAAACCCUUGCUUAUCAUGAGCUGGUUCAACAAAAUUAGCCUUGAAAACACAUGGUCCAGAGCAUAUUACAUAUUUCGCAUAUUAAUGAUGUGAAUGAUAACCAUUCCAUUCCACAAAUCACUUCUUAAUUAGAAAUUAAUUUUUUAUUUCUAUUUCUUAGAUGAGUUUCUCUGCAAAUGAUGCAUUUGAUAACAAUAUAAAAUUUAUAUUCCCAGAAUGGAAAUUUAUUUGAUAAUGACAUAAAAUUUCUGCCUUCCGGGUGAUCGACGGCGAGAGGUGGCCAAUGGGUGGCGGAUGAUUGAAGGCGAGCGAUUGACGAAUGGUGGCAGGUAAUUGGGGGUGGGCGACUAACGACUGACUAGUUAGUAUCAAGGGCAAGCAAUGAGAAGAGUUUUUAUUUUUAUUUUUGUCCCCAAAUAGAAAAGUAAAAAAAUUUUACUUCUAAUUUUUUUCCAAACCUAUUUUUGAAGUAAAUAUUUAUUCUAUGAAGAGAAAAAUAAAUUUGUAUCACCAAACGGAUUCCUAUUGUAAACCCGUUCCUGAUAUUAGAAAUUAUAAAACUAAAAAAGUAAAAUAAUAAUCGCGCGCGCCCUAAAAAGUUGGAUAUUAGAACCAAAGAAAAACCUAACUCCAUGACCGCCACUUCCGGUGAGAUUCUAAAGCCUCCCAGCCGAAAGAAUGGAUGAGGUCUUUUUUUUUUUUUUUUCUUUUUUCAUUCCAUCUAUAUAUAAGGGGAGAAAUCAAAGCACUCAAGAAUCCUCAUAGCAAUUUAACAAAGGAAAUAACGAGAAACCAUGUUAUACAGCCAAACAAACGAAAAAGAGCACAAAUAGAGCAGAGGGAUUGCUGCAGCACAAAGAGUUAAGGAGCCAACAUACAAGAGGAGGAAGAUUACUGUCCCAAAAGAUCCAAGCAACUGGGUUCCAUCUUGCUAUUUGGAUUCCUUGGAUCGCACAAUUUUAUCGGGUAAAAAACUGAGAUUCCAACAAUGAUGAUUAAGGAGGCCAUCAUCGAGCAAGGAACAGAAGAACUUCAAACCUCGAAAGAAGUUCAAACGUCCAAACAACGUACACAAAAGCAAGAGGACCACAGAAAGAAAUUAUCGACCCCUUAUAAGACAAGCACACAAUGAACGGGGACGUCAAGGUGUCAUUUAGUCAAAACUGUUGGGGACUGUUGUCUAGAUGGUAAACUGGCAACUCUUAAAAUUAGCAUUGUCUACACAGAGAAUUUCGAGGAGUGCAAUAGUUAUUUCUUCCAAAAGAACACAAACCUUAAUUGGGGGACUCUUAUGAUACAUGUUGAUUCUUUGGACAUUGAUGCGAUGCUUUGCAUCCUUCACGAAACAUAUUGUAACAACAAUAUGAGAACAAUAUGCCCACAUAAGUAGAUACACAUAUCAAGAUGAAUAUCUACAAAAGAUAAAAGGACCUUGUUGUGAAGCAUUACAGUGUGUUUAUAAACUCCAUUCGUAUCAGAUUGCGGUUGGUAAAUGACUUUCUGAGAUAGCAUGAUAUCAUUUAUGAUAUUAUGAUGCUCGAUAUCUUUCCAUAGAAGAACCAUCCGGAAAUUGAGAGAGAUAGAGAGAGCUAUAAAUUUUGUUGAAGCUAGUACAACACAUGGAUAAUUGUAAUAGUGACUUCAUACAAACAAAUCAAGUUUUCUGACUUUGAGAGGGAAAAGUGCUAAGGGCAGACGCCCAUUUGGCGAAAGAAAAUAGUACGUUCAUUUAUCACUGGGCAUCAAUGUCACAGCUGCUUGUAUCAUAACUUUGCUUUGGUUGUUUGCGCCUAUGUGGAAAUCAAGUGGUUUACGAGCAAUUCAGAAUGUGGGAGACAUAGUUACACGAGUAUCAGACUGAAUACCCCAAGCAUCUGACGAAGGGCCGGUAUCAGUGAGCAAAUUUGGCAUUUUCUACUCAUGCCUUCACCUCUUCAUAUAGGCCACAACUCACUUAUGAGUAGAAUUCUCACUUAAGAUGCUGACGUUCCAUUACUAAGGGAUAUCUCUGAGCCUAAAAUAAAUAAAUGCAAUUUAAAAAAUCAUGCAAACCAAAAAAAAAGUCAAAAAAAGAAUAUGAAAGGCUGUAAAUUUCCUCACUCGCAAAGUACCAGAGUUUGGUGUCCAAUUUUAAGGACUGGACCUCCAUGCUUGUGACCGAGAGCAGCCCACAAGCUGCCAAAUCCACUUGAUAAAGUGGAAUAACCUUUAAAGCCUUAUUAAGGUCCACAGGCUGCAAAAGCAAUUAGUGUCUUACCGAUUUAUGGAUAAAAACAAGUACGAUACCGACAUAAAACAGGUCCGUGCGUUUUUUAAGUGUACAUCACGGAGGAGGUUAGGAUUUAGAUGUCGGAGUCAUUUUAUUUGCUAUAUGAAAAAUCGGAUUACUCUAUAAUUCGCACUUUCUAUCAUAACUGACAUGGAUACCACACUUUGCCAUUAUUGAUAUUUCCUAUAUAAUCCAAAAAUGUAACCGCACAAUAUAAGAUGGUCGAAAAUGUUGACCCAAUCAGAACUAAUGGUACUGGGUAGGUAAUUGCUCCCCGAUUCCUAGCUUGUUUGAUUAAUAUUUUUUCUAAAAUUCCCCUAAACAUCGAGAAAAUAUUCUUCCCAUAUGCAAUUUGUCUAUGCAAUUUUCAAUAACUGAAAGAAUGUAAAAAAAAAAAAAUCAUAUUAUCCACACUGCUUAAAGUGAAAAUGCAGCCACUGGGGUUGCCCAAGUGGCACACUUCUCAAGUGGGAAGGGGAAGGCGGAAAACAUUUUUGCCAUUUACAUGUUCUUCUCAUCUCAUUUGACCCCUUUAAAUGAAAUAUCCUGAAACUCAUACAAACAUGCACAUCUAACACACACAGUGGUGAAACCUACUAUUCUAUAGAGAUACUUGCAUACGGAUCCGCAUCGAAGUCAAGCUCUAGGAAUGCCUGAUCAUCUUCCCAAAGAUUGUUAAUAAUUAUAUGUGUGCCGAAUUCUCCCAUCACUUUAAACUGUAGUAACGUAAUAAAUCAAAAGGUUAAGGAUUCAUAUUGUGAAAAAUCCCUUAAUUGGUGGAGUCAACAUAAAGAAUCGGCCGAUAAUUACGAAUCCAUAGACAAUGUAAAAUUGAAAAGAUCUAGAAGUACAUAAAGUGCCAUUCUUUGGUAUUUUUUUAAUGAUAAAUUAAUCGUUUAAAGAGAGAAAAUUGUUAUUAUUACUAAGGAUUUUGUUAAUAAAUGUUUCCAGGACACUUAUUAAUCAUCUCAAUAAAAAAGUUUGUCAUAUCCAACACACUAUGUUUUUUGUAUGGUAAAUAUAUCGGAAACGAAAAACAUUUCCUUAUCAAGUAUCGAAAAAAAGUGUCCUGGUGGACAUACUGCCAAUCAGAAGACACAACAUAUAGGAUUUUGUUAAUGAGUGUUCCUGCAUAAUAUAUGAGCAAAUGUUCAAUUCUCAAAACAUUGGUUAUGCAUUACAAGAGGAGUUAGUGUAUUGAGAAUUACAACAUAAUAUGCAAAUGAACACUUUAUCUAUUAAUAAUUCGUCCUUAAUCAAUUCGAUCCCAACCUCAAAGGGAUGCUCAAUAAGUUUGCGGUUAGCAAAUACUUCUCAAUCGGUAUCUAGGUCAUUCAUUUAAUGGACCACCCUCACAUAGAAACACACUAUUUUGCCACGACAUCUUCAAUCCGUGUUCACUAUAUCUUCUUCUAUUCUCCCAUAAAAAUUCUCUUAUUAGUUUAUAUGACAUUGUAUAUUUCUUUAGAUCUAAACAUGGGCAUAGGUCAAUAUAUGACCGUGAUUGGCGUUGACAUGAACAACUUUUCUCAAAAUGCUGUGCAAAUACCGACCUUUCAAGCCCCCAUUAUGGUAAGAUGGGUGAGGGCUAUUUCUUGAGUGGUGAGAAUCAAGUGGGUUGUCAAGAUGCUAUUGACCAGCAAGGAUCAAGUGGCAAUGAUACUGGCCUUAAACUUGGCGAGAUACGAGAAUAUUUACGUGAAUUGGAGGUGGAUGCCACCAAGUUCACAGACAAAACUGUUCAAUUUGGAUGGGUUCAUUCCACCAAAUGUUUAGGAAGGACCGCUUCAAUAUGAUUUUUUUUCUCAACCUAGUACUCUCUUUAUUAUGGUAAAUCCAAUCUCUACUCUGCAAUCCAUGAAGAUCAGUCCCUAUUCGAGCAUGACAUCAACCACUUCUUUCAUUAUGUGGUACAAAAUAGUUGGUUUUACUUCUAAAAUUAAAAUGGAAUUGUACAUGUAGAAUUUCAAAAGCUUGACUAUAAUUAACUUUCUCUUAUUAUCGUAAAAGCAAAAGACUCAACACACACCCAUGAUGGAGCCCUUUCUACUCUACACCCCAAACAUGAAGCCCUUGCUCUUUUAUAUAGGUGGCCAAAGUUGGGGUUUAAACAAACUUUCUGGCCUUCCACAUUCUUUUAAUACAAAUAUCUAUUUUUUUUAACAACUAGAUGGAGUAUUCUAGAGAAGGCUAGAGGUGAUGUGGAGGCUUUAUAUUGGGUUUUCUUUGAUGAUGUGUGACUAAGAAAUAUGGAGAGAAUUCUAGAAGACAGAGAAGAUGGUGCUUUCUUCAAUAGUGCAUUUAUUGUCUUACUAUCGAUAUUAUUUCUUCUUGAGUAGGAUAAAAUUAGAUAAACAAUCACGUCAAUUUGACUAAAUCUUUUGAUUUCCAAUUUAUACCUAUCUCAGAUAUUUUUCCUUAUUUAGUUUAUAUUUUAGUAAUCCUCUUAUUCAGUGCAUUAUGUUUCUCACAUUUUAGUUGUAAAUAAAAAUUAAUCUCAAUGUUUGCAAUUGCAAAAGUAAGAGUUACAUGGUCAAGAUUUUAUUAUGAAAGCACAUGGCCUCACACCAAAGCGAUUUCAUCCGACUAAAAAUUAAAGGUAAAUGCCAAACACUACAUAUAACACCUACGUAUCAUCGAUUUGGUGUAAUUAUGUUCUUUUUCCAUGUUGAAAUCUCAUAGAUUAGGCCAAUGAAUAAUGAUAUUUCGCAAUUGAACUUUAAGGAGUCAUGAGCAUUCCAUGAGAUAAAAUAAAAAAUGCUAUAACAAAAUAUAUCAAAACUUGGCCGGAUUGGUUGCAAUAAAAUUGUUAAUUGAUGGAUACACUCUAAACACUACAUAUAACAUCUAUGUAUCAUUGAUUUGGUGUAAUUAUGUUCUUUUUCCAUGUUGAAAUCUCACAUAUUAGGCCAAUGAAUAACGAUAUUUCGCAAUUGAACUUUAAGGAGUCAUGAGCAUUCCAUGAGAUAAAAUAAAAAAUGCUAUAACAAAAUAUCAAAACUUGGCCGGAUUGGUUGCAAUAAAAUUGUUAAUUGAUGGAUACACUCCAAACACUACAUAUAACAUCUACGUAUCAUCGAUUUGGUGUAAUUAUGUUCUUUUUCCAUGUUGAAAUCUCAUAGAUUAGGCCAAUGAAUAACGAUAUUUUGCAAUUGAACUUUAAGGAGUCAUGAGCAUUCCAUGAGAUAAAAUAAAAAAUGCUAUAACAAAAUAUCAAAACUUGGCCGGAUUGGUUGCAAUAAAAUUGUUAAUUGAUGGAUACACUCGUAUAUCAUAUAAGAUUGCAAGUACAAGGAUCGAUGUAUUAAAACUACCCAACUAUUAAAUUGGAUUACUCCGCACUUUAUAUUGCAUGUAAUUAAUUAUGUAAAAGAUAAACAAAAAUCUGUGAGGUUGUUACUCUGUUAUGGUUCAAUAAAUGAGUUUUGAUAUUUUUUAUAAGGCUGUCAAAUGAAUGGGUCAGGUUGGGUUUGGGUCAAGUCAAAAAUGGUCCAACCCAUAUUGACCCAUAUAAUCUGUUUAGACCUAUUUUCAUGCAAUGUAAACUUGAUGACCCAUACCCGACUUGACUAUACCCGACCGAACCCAUAUUACCGAAACAUAUUAAUAUUCAACUCAAUUUAUGUUAAAUUAGCCCCACUCAUUUGAUUAACUUUAAGCUCUUCAUAUAUAACAUCAAUUUAAAAAUUAUAUUGACAUUUAACUAAACCUAAGAAAGCUUAUUUCUUAUGAUUUUUUUCAAAAUGAUAUUGCUAAAAUACUUUCAUGCAAUACAAAUUUAAUUGACAAUUUUUAUAAUUUUUUUAAAAAUCGAAUUUUUAGUUAUUUUUUUAAAAAUUGAAUUUUUAAUUAUUUUUAUUUUAAAAUAUACUUUUUAAUUUUCUUCUUCUUAUGCUGGCCAUCGACCACAUUGACGGCCGGCAAUUGGCCACAGGCAAGCUCAAGAUUGGCGAGAUUAAGCUCGCCCGACACUGGCAAGCUUGAACCUCCACAAAUCGGUGAGGCUCGACCCUUGCCACACGUCAAUGAGGUCUCGGCCUCGCUAGAUAAGCAAAGAGCUCAAUCUCACUUGAUGCCGACGAGCUCAAGUCUUGCCAAAUUGGCGAGACCUCAACCUUGCCAAAUCAACGAGCUCAACCUUACUCGACGCCGGCAAGCUUGAGUCUCACCAGAGGUAUUGCAAAUAACAAUUAUGUACCCUUCUAAGAUAUGUCAUAUUUUUUGAUCGUUGUAAUAUAUUGAAUGAGUAAUCCAACAAUGUAAGGCCCCUUUUUUGCCCUACAACAUGUGCAUGAUUGACUUGUGAAAAGAUUAAGGAAAUUCUAGUUUUUUGGGGUCGGGUGGGAAUUCUGGCUUUGCUAAAUCUUUUCAAAGCAAUUUUAAUUCUCGAGCAGAAUUUUGAUCUGCUUUUCGUUUUCCUUCGUCAUGCACUAGAGGUGAAUUUGGAGCCUUGGGGCUUGAACCCAAAGAGCAUGUACCGAACCUGCAAAAGAGUUGCUUAGCUGAUGCAGAAUGAUUUUUGUUCUGAAGUUCUUCUCAUCUCUAUUUGCAUCAUAUGCUAUGACAUUUGAGGUGGUCUGGUUGUCUCUUACCAAAGAAAUCAGUCACCAAAGCUGUGGAAAAGAAAUUAAUGAAACUCUCAAGAACUUUGCACUAUUUACGAUGUGCCGCGACUCUUUUACAAAAAUACAUUGACAAAAAUGGAAUGUGGUGCGAAAAUCAUAAAUGCUGAAUGAGGAUUAGCUCGCGCUUUGGUUUAGCAUCUCAUUGUACUGAAGGUAAGAAAUUUGCCUUUGCAACUUCGUUUGUUCAUAGAAUUUAGCUAUGAACUGCUCUGCUCUUGUGUCGAUCCCUCGAUCUUCCUCAAUUUCCACUCUUCCAUCCUCCGCCUGCUCCUCAUCGAAAUGAGUUCCCUCUUCGCCUCCGUUUUCAAGGAAGCUCUGCCUCACGGCUUCAUACCCAUAGCACAGUCGGUCGUCCUCGUCAAACUCUGGGUCAAAAUCGACGUGGGGGUUUAUGCACGGUAUGUGCGGCAAGGGAAACCGCAUCGGCCCCGGGCGAUGCAUCUUCACGUGGACAACCGGGGUCUUAUCAAAGGAGAGCUCGCGCUCCCUGUACCAGAUCUGGCUGCGCGGCGUCGCCUGGCCGAUGGUCUUGAGGAACUUGGGCACGAGGCGGAGCUGCAACUUGAACGCCCCGCCUUUCCUCGCCCAGAGCAGCGCCAGGCGCAGGAGGUUCCACGCGCGGCGAGAAACCCCGGACGUCUUCCUCGGCAUCUUUUCUCACUCUCUAGCUGAGUAGUGUUUGCUUUGAGAAAGUCUUGCAGCUGCAAAAGGAUAAAUGAGAGAAGAUGAAAAGAGAGUGUGCAGGGUGUGAGAAGACUGAUGAAAUGGGGAUUAGCUUUGUAUGGGGCCUUUCUCAGAUUUUGCUGAGCUGGAUGUGUACAAAAAGGAUCAGAAAUCUGUCUCUGUUUUAGGAUGAUCUGUGAGAAUGAGCAGAGCUUGGAAGGUGUUUAUAUAUGGAUGGGAAACUUGUUUGGCUUCGUGUCUGGAUGUGAAUAGUGGGCGGCGGGAUCUGGGGACGCAACGCGGUCGGACGUGGUGUAGCUGGAUCAUUGUUUGUUUUCAGAUGUUUAUUACUUUAUUUCUCCGCAUUCUCACUGAUGGGCAUCUCGAAAUUUGGUGAGUCCGAUGAAUCUUGAUAAGUGAGGAUAAUUGUCCUAAAAAUCAUAAUUUAUGUUACAAUAGCUAAUUUAAGUCUAAAAAAUUUCGAUUAUGCAAAUAUAAUAUUGAACCUAUUGUACAAUAACCAAUUUGGUCAUAAACCUUUUAAUCAUGCUAAUUUAAUUAUAAAUAUUUUGACUAUUUACCAAUUUAGUUCUAAAUUUUUAAAACGAGUCGCCAACAUAGUCCUUUCGGAUAAUUUUUGCCGGAUAUCACUCAAAUACUAGAUUGACAAAUUAUUAAAAUGUUGAAAAUUGAAUUGACAAAUCGUCAAUACGUUUAUGAAUAAAUUAGCGUAAUUAAAAAUUUUAUAAUUAAAUUGUAAUUAAAUUAACAUAAUUUAAAAUUUAAAAUUAAAUUGGCCAUCGUUAUUGAACAAUUUUCCCUCAAUAAGUGUAUGGGAAUGUUCCAACCACUCAUGUGUAUUGGACACGACUCUUAAAAAGGGCUGCAGGUGGGCUCUCAAAUUACUUUGAGUUGAAGUCAUAUAAUUGAAUGGAUGAAAUGUUGAUUAUAAAAGCUCUUAACCCCUUAAUUCACAGCUAUUUUUUUUUGUCAGAAUUAACAGCUAUUCAAAGUGCCGCAAAAGCAUUUUUUUUAAAAGCAGUGUGUUGACCUUUGUUAUCAAGGCUCUUGUUAAGCGAUCUACUAAAAAAUCCUUUACAUUUUCCAAUGAUUGAUUGUUUUAAUGUUAUAUGCAAUGAAUAUAAUAAAAAAAAUGAACCAUUUCAAAUAAAAUUAGCAGGAGAAGUGAAUAUUAUAUAUUUGAAGCGACUCUUGUCUUCGUUUUUUUGCUGUUGUUAGUUUUCCCUAUUUUUUGGCCAAAUUGAUGAUGUGCUUGUAAUGUCGUCAUGAUAUUUACUUUUGCUGGUAGUUGGGGAACUUAAAAAAGAAAAAAAAAAGAAUGAAUAUUUUUUUUUUAAAGUUAAUAUCCUGAAAAAUCCUAAAUAGGUACAUGUGUGACAAAUUUACUCAAGACUAAUUUUUUACCAUGAAAAACCUCAAACUAGUACAUCUGUGACAAAUUUACCCCAAUCGACCAUAAAAAAACCUGAAAUCGGUAUACCUGUACCAAAUUUACCUCAACCUAAUUUAUUUAAUUACCAAAAAUCCUAAAUUGGUACAUUUGCGACAAAUAUACCCUCCAUUAAAUUGGAUUAAUACCACAAAAAAUCACAAAAAUUGUAUAACCGUGACAAAUGAAGAGUAGAAUCGUAAAUCGGUAUCCAAUUAACUGUCGCAUGUUAUUCAACUUAGUAAUUUGAUAGUAAAAUUUGCGACCAAAAAAAAAUUUGAUAGUAAAAUUGAACGGAAAUUAACAUAGUGUUAAUUUGUCAUAUGUGUAUCAGUUUAGGGUAAAUUUGUCAAAGAUUUACCAGUAUUGGGUUUUUUUAUGGUAAAAAAAUUAGUUUUGGGUAAAUUUAUUAUAAGUGCUUAGUUUGAGGUUUUUUAGGAUAUUAACCUCUUUUAUAUAUAUAUAUAUUGAAGGGGAUAAAGUCCAAAUGUUAUACUAUAAUUCACCUAACGAAACCAAAUUCAUUGGAGUGAACAUUUUUUCUCAUCUUGCUUUAUCUUUCACAUUCACUCAAAUUAAUAUUUUUUUUCCUUCUCAAUUGAUCUUACGGAUGAAAUUCCAAGAUUCUGGCAAAACUUCCUUUUAAAAGAUCUUUAUCUCCUAUCCAAAUGCGAGAAGGAUCCAACAAGCAAAUCCUCAACGUACCAAAUAGUCAUCCUUUGAUCUAGGAGAUUUAUUUGUACUAUCAUCAAGAUAUAUCGAUCUAAUAACAAUGUCUAAGUUGAUCUAAUUUUUAACUAACUUUGCAUUUGAAUCAUGAAAAUUGUCUAAGUCAAUGCAAGUUUUGUCAUGUACGACAGUAUAUACUAACCAAACCACUAACGAUUUAUUGUCAAAAUUGGCCGAAAGAACUAAAUUGGCAAAUUGUUAAAAGAAUUAAGAAUAAAUUGAUAAAUUAUCGAAUGAUUUAUGACUAAAUCGGAACAAUUAAAAUAUUUAUGGAAAAAUUAAUAAUUCUAAAAAAUUUUAGGACUAAUGUAUCACAAUUAAAAGAUUCUGAAUUGAAUUAAUGACAGUACAAUAUAGAUUUAUGAUUUUUUGAAUAAUUUUUCUCAAAAUUUCAGGUCGUCCUUAUGAAGUUCUGCCCCCCCCCCCCCCCCCCCCUUUUUUUUUUUUUUUUUUUUUUUUAAACUUAAUUCCCCCCUUUUCCCUUUAAAAAACCCGGGGAAACACACGGCGACAUCACAUUCUUUCACUAGGAAGCCAAUCAUGGAUCAUGACCCCGUGAAUGGUGGGCAUUAACAAUCUGGCCCCACAUUUUAAAUCACAAAAUACUAAACAAAGGUUGAGGGCUUUUGUCCAAGUAAACGGUUGUUGAUCCUAGAGAGAGAGAGAGAGAGAGAGAGAAGAAUGAUGGGCUGUACUGUUGCCUGGAUUCUUCUAAACCAUGUUAGGAAACUUCACCUAUUGAUAGGAUGCUUCGUUUUUUUCCAAGUGAUUAUAAGCCAAGACCUUUCAAGUCAACAAGUAAUUAUUUAUAAUACAAGUAGUAGUUAAAGUCCAAAAAAAAUACAGCAUAAAGAGGGAGAAAAUUGACAACCCAGGAAUCUAUAGUUUUAUGUAUUUCGGAUUGAUUUCUUAACAUUUUAUUUGGUUUGUGUAGUUCAUGCAUUUUGACUUUUUUUUUUUCAUUUAAAACACUUCAAAACUCUUAUCUUCUGCCACCCAAUAUAACUUUUCCAUAAAUUUAUUUAAUAAUAUUUUAAAUUUUAGUGGAAUUUUUUUAUUGAUCAAAAUAAAAUCUUCAAUUCUCAAUUGAUCAACAACUAAGAGGUCAUCAUGAAUACAAAUUUCUUUUCAUUUUAAGGAAGUAUUAUCUUGUCAUUUUCUUCUUAUUUCUAAGACGACAACGCAAAUUAUAAGCGCCAGUUUGGCCCAAAUCUCAUGGCAAUUCACAGGCACCAGCAAGUCAUUAUAAUAUGGGUUAAUACCUUAAAAAACCCUAAACUAGUAUACAUGUGACAAAUUUACCCAAAACUAUUUUUUUAACCAUGAAAAACUUCAAAUUGAUACAUCUAUAAUAAAUUUAACCCGAUUGACCAUAAAAAACUAUAAACUGGUACAUUUAUGAAAAAUUUAUCCUAAACUAAUUUAUUCGACCACAAAAAACCCCAAACUGGUAAAUUUAUGAUAAAUAUACCCUUAGCUAAAUUAGAUUAAUACCACAAAAAAAUCACAAAAAUUGUAAACUGUGACAAACAGAAUGUAAAAUUCCAAAUUGAUAUAUCAGUCAACUGUCACAUGUCAUUUAACUUAAUAAUUUGACAGUAAAAUUUAACGAAAACUAACAGAGAGUAAAUUUAUGACAAAUGUACCAAUUUGGGGUAAAUUUAUCAAAGGUAUAUCAGUUUGGGGAUUUUGUUGGUCAAAAAAAUAGUUUAGGGUAAAUUUGUUAUAGGUGUACCAAUUUGGAGUUUUUCAGGGUAUUAACCCUUAUAAUAUUAAAUUGAAUCCAAGCCAAAAAAAUAAAAUAAGAAAAGGGCUAUGAUGCCCAUUUGCUAGUUGUCUCAUCACCUUUAAAUUAAUCAAGAAUUUUAAAAAUAAAUCUAAGGCUCCGUUUGGUAACAUUCCUAUGUUUCUAUUUUUCUGUUCUAUUAUUCCCUAAAAUUAAAAAAAAAAAAUCAUUUGGUAUCGUCGGUUAAUUUUUCUAUUUCACAGAAAGUUGUCAAGGAAUAUAUUCGCUUGUCUUCACUGCUACCGCCCGCCAUCCGUCGCUUUCGCCUGCCAUUGGCUACCCUCUACCAAUCAUUGCCACUGUUUGCCUCUUGCUGCUUGCCAUCGGUCUAUCGCCUCUCGCCAUCCACCGCCACUUGGGAGGGAGAUAUUUUGUGUCGUUAUCAAACAAAUUUUUAUUUUAGAAAUAUAAAUAUUGUGUCAUUAUCAAAUGCAUAUUUUUGCUUAGAAACUCAUCCAAUGAUAUAAAUAUAAAGAUUAGAAAAAUCUAUUUCUAUUUCAGAGAUCAAUUUCUGACUAGAAUGGUUAUCAUUCACGCUCAAACAUAUUCAUUUACUCAGAAAUUAUUUUAGGAAAUAGAAAUAGAAAAAAUUAUUUCUAAAAAGAAACUUAUUCCGAGAACAGUAAUGUUACCAAAAGCACCAUAAUUCACUAGUUGAAGCUGAACCAUUUCUUUUGGGAACCAGCCUCUAUUUGAUUCAAGCCCAAAUUGAGGGCUUCUAUCAUUUUUUAUCCUGGAAAGAUUCCCCUUUUAUUGCCUUAUGGAUGAACACCAGUAGUGCUCUUUAACUAAAACAAAGAAGCCAAACACUGUUUCUCUAGAGUGUGUUUGGAAGGUUUGCUCUCAUGAUACCAUACUCAUGCGGAAGGGUCGAGGAUGCACAACACUAGCACCGAAAACGUGAUGAAGUUGGGAUGCAGCAAGAGGAGGAAAAGGUAAUUUUAAUUGGUUCGAAUUUCAGGUGGCAGGUGAGAGUGUCGAGCUGCUAAGAGAAGUGAAUUGUGUGGAGAGUUUUUUAUGGUUCAACGGCGGAAAUCCCAGAAUCGAAAAUGCGGAAGUUUAGCAGUGCCCAAGUAUAGAUGAAAUGGAAGUGCAAAUGAUCAGAAGUCUCCAAAUGAGCUAGCGACUUGAUAUUUAAAGUGAAAGGGUUAGGGUAAUUAACAGGUGUGAUGACACCAUGGGAAAUCGACGCUAGAUAGAAUGCCACUGGCCACUAUUUUCCCUCUGAUCUAUCUCCUAUAGAAUCAUUAUAUGCUAAUUGUCAAUUGUCUUUCGCUGGGGCUUGGAAAGAGUCGAAUUUAGGACUUACAGUUUUGAUAUCACGUGAGAUUUCAUGGGAUUGUUUAAAAUUAUUAUAAAAGUUUAAGUUUGGUUACAUGAAUGCGUGAUUUAUUAUUUAAAUAUUCUAAAACCAAAGAAGCUGAAAAACCUUCCUGCAUUAAUAAUUAUAUAUUACACCUCGCGCCAUCCAAAUUGACAUACAUAGGACCAUCCAAGUGAAGAAAUGCAAAUUAUUGAAUUAGCUGUGGAGGAGCUGCCGUGCUCAACCCAUUAAAUUUUCCACCUAAAUCAUAGUUAAGGUCGGAGUCCUCACCCAAGCAUGCAAGCGAUGAAGAGAUCUGGACACCAUCCAUUACAGAAGAUUUGUGAUUACCGCUGUUUUGUAUCAGGUGGGUGAAGUGACACAUCCAAGACGAUUCUCACGAAUUUGAAGUUAUUCCUGAUUCAAAAGGGGUGGUCAUCCCCGUUUUUCCUCCAAAAGAGGUACGCCUUCCAUCAUUAGGGCGUGAAGAGAACUCGUUUGAACUUCGUAGAGUGGUCGGGUUACUGCUCAAUGCAGUAUGCCUUCUAGGAUGAACAUUCCUGUCAGGAUAUAAUCCUAAUCUUGAAUCAUGAGUAUGUUCUUACGAAAACCAUUGUUAAUGAAACCCGCAGCUGAAAGGAAGACACGGCAAGCAAAAUGACAUGAAUGAGAUAUCUACCUCCCCCUGCCAACUCGCUAGGGAGUUUGUUGCUGCCUAAUGAAGCAUAGCCAAUUCGAUUAGAGUUUUCCCUCCAAGAAAAUCGGCAAAGGGAAUUGUUAACAAGUAACCCUAAUAAGGAGAAACAUGAUGAUGGCAAUGGAGAAAAAUAUAACAAUAGUUCUUCUGCAUUUAAAUCAGUCACGCCUCGAGUCUUGCGAGCUCAAGUCUCACCAGGUCGGUGAGGUAUUGCUAAGAACAAUUCUGUACCCUUCUAAGAUAUGUCGUAUUUUUUCAUUGUUGUAUUAUAGUAAAUUAGUAAUCCAACGAUGUAAGGCCUUUUUUUUCUCUACAAGAUGUGCAUGAUUGACUUGUGAAAAGAUUAAGGAAAUUCUAGUUUUUUUGGGGUCGGAUGGGAAUUCUGGCUUUGCUAAAUCUUUUCAAAGCAAUUUUAAUUCUCGAGCAGAAUUUUGAUCUGCUUUUCGUGAUCCUUCGUCAUGCGCUAGAGGCGAAUUUGCAGCCUUGAGGCUUGAACCCAAAGAGCAUGUACCGAACCUGCAAAAGAGUUGCUUAGCUGAUGCAGAAUGAUUUUUGUUCCGAAGUUCUUCUCAUCUCUAUUUGCAUCAUAUGCUAUGACAUUUUAGGUGGUCUGGUUGUCUCUUACCAAAGAAAUCAAUCACCAAAGCUGUGGACAAAAAAUUAAUGAAACUCUCAAGAACUUUGCACUAUUUACAAAGUGCCGCGACUCUUUUACAAAAAUACAUUGACAAAAAUGGAAUGUGGUGCGAAAAUCAUAAAUGCUGAAUGAGGAUUAGCUCGCGCUUUGGUUUAGCAUCUCAUUGUACUGAAGGUAUGAAAUUUGCCUUUGCAACUUCAUUUGUUCAAAGAAUUUAGCUAUGAACUGCUCUGCUCUUGUGUCGAUCCCUCGAUCUUCCUCAAUUUCCAC
RNAcentral lists this long non-coding RNA (40467 nucleotides) under Eucalyptus grandis. RNAcentral describes it as "long non-coding RNA (EGRA_LNC002952)". The record is from RNAcentral. Lineage: Eukaryota; Viridiplantae; Streptophyta; Magnoliopsida; Myrtales; Myrtaceae.